RNAcentral lists this non-coding RNA (1271 nucleotides) under Fusarium oxysporum f. sp. cubense race 1. RNAcentral's name for it is "Eukaryotic large subunit ribosomal RNA". It matches the Rfam family "Eukaryotic large subunit ribosomal RNA", at positions 168 to 1466 of the family's 3401-position model. Lineage: Eukaryota; Fungi; Ascomycota; Sordariomycetes; Hypocreales; Nectriaceae. The record is from Rfam by way of RNAcentral.
AUGCGGUGCCUUCCGAGUUCCCUGGAACGGGACGCCAUAGAGGGUGAGAGCCCCGUCUGGUUGGAUGCCAAAUCUCUGUAAAGUUCCUUCAACGAGUCGAGUAGUUUGGGAAUGCUGCUCUAAAUGGGAGGUAUAUGUCUUCUAAAGCUAAAUACCGGCCAGAGACCGAUAGCGCACAAGUAGAGUGAUCGAAAGAUGAAAAGCACUUUGAAAAGAGAGUUAAAAAGUACGUGAAAUUGUUGAAAGGGAAGCGUUUAUGACCAGACUUGGGCUUGGUUAAUCAUCUGGGGUUCUCCCCAGUGCACUUUUCCAGUCCAGGCCAGCAUCAGUUUUCCCCGGGGGAUAAAGGCGGCGGGAAUGUGGCUCUCUUCGGGGAGUGUUAUAGCCCACCGUGUAAUACCCUGGGGGGGACUGAGGUUCGCGCAUCUGCAAGGAUGCUGGCGUAAUGGUCAUCAACGACCCGUCUUGAAACACGGACCAAGGAGUCGUCUUCGUAUGCGAGUGUUCGGGUGUCAAACCCCUACGCGUAAUGAAAGUGAACGCAGGUGAGAGCUUCGGCGCAUCAUCGACCGAUCCUGAUGUUCUCGGAUGGAUUUGAGUAAGAGCAUACGGGGCCGGACCCGAAAGAAGGUGAACUAUGCCUGUAUAGGGUGAAGCCAGAGGAAACUCUGGUGGAGGCUCGCAGCGGUUCUGACGUGCAAAUCGAUCGUCAAAUAUGGGCAUGGGGGCGAAAGACUAAUCGAACCUUCUAGUAGCUGGUUUCCGCCGAAGUUUCCCUCAGGAUAGCAGUGUUGAACUCAGUUUUAUGAGGUAAAGCGAAUGAUUAGGGACUCGGGGGCGCUAUUUAGCCUUCAUCCAUUCUCAAACUUUAAAUAUGUAAGAAGCUCUUGUUGCUUAAUUGAACGUGAGCAUUCGAAUGUAUCAACACUAGUGGGCCAUUUUUGGUAAGCAGAACUGGCGAUGCGGGAUGAACCGAACGCGAGGUUAAGGUGCCAGAGUAGACGCUCAUCAGACACCACAAAAGGUGUUAGUACAUCUUGACAGCAGGACGGUGGCCAUGGAAGUCGGAAUCCGCUAAGGACUGUGUAACAACUCACCUGCCGAAUGUACUAGCCCUGAAAAUGGAUGGCGCUCAAGCGUCUCACCCAUACCUCGCCCUCAGGGUAGAAACGAUGCCCUGAGGAGUAGGCGGACGUGGAGGUCAGUGACGAAGCCUAGGGCGUGAGCCCGGGUUGAACGGCCUCUAGUGCAGAUCUUGGUGGUAGUAGCAA